This 331-nucleotide ribosomal RNA is filed under the name Escherichia coli. RNAcentral's name for it is "partial 23S ribosomal RNA". It matches the Rfam family "Bacterial large subunit ribosomal RNA", at positions 2600 to 2925 of the family's 2925-position model. The record is from RNAcentral. Lineage: Bacteria; Pseudomonadati; Pseudomonadota; Gammaproteobacteria; Enterobacterales; Enterobacteriaceae.
GCGAGCUGGGUUUAGAACGUCGUGAGACAGUUCGGUCCCUAUCUGCCGUGGGCGCUGGAGAACUGAGGGGGGCUGCUCCUAGUACGAGAGGACCGGAGUGGACGCAUCACUGGUGUUCGGGUUGUCAUGCCAAUGGCAUUGCCCGGUAGCUAAAUGCGGAAGAGAUAAGUGCUGAAAGCAUCUAAGCACGAAACUUGCCCCGAGAUGAGUUCUCCCUGACUCCUUGAGAGUCCUGAAGGAACGUUGAAGACGACGACGUUGAUAGGCCGGGUGUGUAAGCGCAGCGAUGCGUUGAGCUAACCGGUACUAAUGAACCGUGAGGCUUAACCUU